RNAcentral lists this ribosomal RNA (954 nucleotides) under Triticum aestivum (bread wheat). RNAcentral's name for it is "partial small subunit ribosomal RNA". Lineage: Eukaryota; Viridiplantae; Streptophyta; Magnoliopsida; Poales; Poaceae. The record is from RNAcentral.
AUGGGUGAGCAAAAAGAAGGUGCCAAGAGCGAGGUUGCUCGCUCUCGUGAUAAUUACAUGUCAUGGAGUGAUGAUUGUACCAAGUAUAUGCUUGAGUGGUAUAUCGAGAAGCAAAGGGACAAGCCACCAACCUUCAAGUGGAAGGCAUAACACCAUCUACAAUGUGCUAAUGAUUUGAAUGACAAGUUUGGAAUUACAGCUACAGCGAAACAAGUUGAUCGACACUAUAGGUCAUUCAAGGAGAAAUGGAAGUGGAUAAAGCUAGCAAAGGGGAGGAGUGGAUAUGGUUUCGAUAAACUACUUAACAAAUUUAACAUUGACAAGUCAGAGAAAUCACCAAGCAAGCUUGGCAAAAUUAAAUUUAACUACCUUACUCACUCCAUCAAGUUUUAUCAUCUCUUGGAAGAACUGUUUAGUGACUCGUCUCAUGCGGAUGGCUCACUAGCUAUUGAUGUGAAUGAUGCAAGUGAGAAUGUGGAAUCUGAUGCUAGUAGUGAAACAAGCAACCACACAUCCACUGCUGAACAAGGUCUUAGUGAUUCCGACAUGAUUGCACCCAACAGUCCAGCAGAAGGCACUAGCUCAAAUCUGAAGCGCAAGCAUGUUAAAGCACCACAUAAGAAACCAAAGGUCAAGGCGCAUCGAGCCAGAGUGUUAGAUGAUGAUGUGGCAUCGAGCAUUGUGAGUCUUGCUGAAACUGUGAAAUCUGCUGCCCCUAUUCAGCCAAUAGGAGCUACAAACCCUAAUGCCAAUCUUUAGAAGCACAUUGAGUCGCUAACUCUUCCAGCAAAUGAGAAAAUUGAGUUAGCAACCUAUCUUGCUAAGCCAGAACAAGAAGUUUUCCGUGCUUUCCUGAACUGUGCUAGCGACCAGACUUUUAAUGCUUGGGUCCUUGAUUAUUUCGGGCACAAGUAUGACGGCAAUGAUCGCGCAGCUGCUGAUCCAUCAACCUGA